RNAcentral lists this ribosomal RNA (253 nucleotides) under uncultured bacterium. Its description in RNAcentral is "partial 16S ribosomal RNA". It matches the Rfam family "Bacterial small subunit ribosomal RNA", at positions 524 to 776 of the family's 1533-position model. The record is from RNAcentral.
UACGUAGGGGGCAAGCGUUGUCCGGAUUUAUUGGGCGUAAAGAGCGUGUAGGCGGCCAGGUAGGUCCGCUGUGAAAACUCGAGGCUCAACCUCGAGAUGUCGGCGGAAACCAUCUGGCUAGAGUCCGGAAGAGGAGAGUGGAAUUCCUGGUGUAGCGGUGAAAUGCGCAGAUAUCAGGAAGAACACCCGUGGCGAAGGCGGCUCUCAGGGACGGUACUGACGCUGAGACGCGAAAGCGUGGGGAGCGAACAGG